Molecule: non-coding RNA, 1017 nt
Organism: Biomphalaria pfeifferi
Lineage: Eukaryota; Metazoa; Mollusca; Gastropoda; Planorbidae
Source: the annotation of a GenBank genome assembly
AUUCUUUUUUUUUUGGUCUACUUUGAUUUUAAGUCUUGUGAUUGUACCCACAUUCUUUACCAUACAUACAUGUCUAUAUGUAUAUAAGUGUUAUAUGAUAUUUUGUUUUGUGACUGAUAUACAUGUAUAUAGCAUACAAAUUAUUGUUGGACUCAGAAAAGACAUUUAUAUGUAUAUAAAUAUAAACUUUAAAAAUGGAAUUCUCUCCCCUUUAUUGUUUUUCCGUCUUCUUUUGUUGAGAAAUGGUAAUCUAUAAUUUGAAUACAAUUUGCAAAUAAAAUAUUCUAAAUAAUUGUUAAAACAAUUAUGAAAUCAAAACUUAUACAAACUUUUUUUUCAAAAGUAAUUUUAUAAAAUAGGCCUGUUUAAUAUUUUAUAUAUAUAUAUAUAUAUCAAAUUCUUAUAGGGGACGAAAUUCUAUUUUUAAAAACUCUGCUUCUUUCCCUUGUCUUGCGAGUAUCGUGAUCCUGUGUAUCCCAAGCGGUCUUUUCCUUCCAGAAAAGGCCUCAAAUAAAAUUGUGUCUAUGCGUUUGUAUUGGUAUGGUCUUUGGGUUUCAUUUCUUGUUAUAGCGUUUUGUUUUAAUCGUGUCUAAAGAACACAGAAAAAAAAUUGGUCUGAGGAAUAGAAAUUUUCCUACUUUUAUACUUAUCAACAUUCUAAAAUACCUCUAACUAAUGUAUAAGUCAUGUUUGAGAUCUCCACAUAAUGCGUUUGUGUGGCCGUGCUUAUAUCCGGACUUGUUAUUGGAGGAGAUACAAUUUUAGACAUAACAAUGUUUCAUGGAGACAUUUCUUUUUAGUGUCUUCAGUCCAGUUUGGGGUUAUCUUUCUUUUUUUUUCACUUCCGGUUCGUGUAUUUAUUUUCUUACCUUUAUCUUUACGCGACACCUUUGUUUCUUUUGAUCUCUUUUGUCAGUAUCUGUUCCAAUCUCUGCGUGACUCUUUAUCUGUCAGUCACGGUGUCUUUGUCUCUCUUUCAUUCUAUCUAUCUAUCUGUCUAUCUAUCUAUCUAUCUAU